This 253-nucleotide ribosomal RNA is filed under the name uncultured bacterium. RNAcentral's name for it is "partial 16S ribosomal RNA". It matches the Rfam family "Bacterial small subunit ribosomal RNA", at positions 524 to 776 of the family's 1533-position model. The record is from RNAcentral.
UACAGAGGGGGCAAGCGUUGUUCGGAAUUACUGGGCGUAAAGGGCGCGUAGGCGGCCUUCUAAGUCGAACGUGAAAUCCCCGGGCUCAACCCGGGAACUGCGUCCGAUACUGGAAGGCUUGAAUUCGGGAGAGGGAUGCGGAAUUCCAGGUGUAGCGGUGAAAUACGUAGAUAUCUGGAGGAAUACCGGUGGCGAAGGCGGCAUCCUGGACCAUUACUGACGCUGAGGCGCGAAAGCUAGGGGAGCAAACGGG